CCCAGCACAAAAAUGCUGGGACGGUUUACGCCUGUCCGAAUCUUGAUCUGCCGACAAUGACAAUUUGAUCGAUUGCACAUGUCUGUGCGAAAAGUGGCGAAAUUCGUCAUCAAUUCGCUCCAGCUGAUUGCUGUCAUGUGACGCACGCAACCAGGAAGCGGAAGCGAGAACGAGCCAUGUGGGAUCCUUGCUCCUGAUAUCCUGAAGUAUGGGUUGCAUUUCGUGACGCCAACAGAACACUCACAGAAAGGAGAGUGGUGUCAAACUACAAGACCGCCAGCAUGUAAACAAGGCCUUGUUUGUCCUUGUUUGGAUACUCAUUUGUCUACUUCCUGAAGAGGUUGAAGCAUGCUGGCCUUGAUACCUCAGUCCUUGCUUCAAUUAACAGCUGUGUUAUGGAGCGCAUCCUACAAAGGGCAAUUGGCAGGCAGUGUGCUGUGAGGACUGCUGCCCUGAUUCAUACGGAAGAAGUUCCAAGUUCACUCACUUAUUAGCGAGGUUAACGAGUGGGCUCCAUCAACUGUCCAGGGUGAAGUCGGUCUGUACUGAUUGCACUACCUGCUACUUGAUGAUGUCUGGUAGCCGUGGCUACUGCCCUCAGCCUGGUACACAUGACAUUUACUGCCAAAAGGUACCAUCAGAGCACCUCUCCCUACCCUGCAGGACAUCUAUACCAGAAGAGUACAAGGGCCCAAAAUAUUUCAAAAGACAUUUCACACCCUGACCAUGGACUGUUUAAACCACUUAGGUCAAGCAGACGUCUCUGUUCCCACAUGGCUAGAACAGACUGAGAAGGAGUUUCUUUCCUGAAGCCAUCUGCAUCCCGAUCACACAUAACUCUUUAAACUACAUUAUAUAGACUUGCCAUACUGCACUUACACACACUGCUCUGUUUACCACCUGAAAAGAUUGUUGCUGCACUGUCUCAGGUUUUGUUCAAACCAUGUCUAUAUCAAGGAUGGUUCCCAAAACCAACGCCUGUUUGCCAGGCUCAUUUUCUGCAAGGCCCUUGAUUUGGGGAAAAGUGCGAAAACCAGUGACAUUAAGGGUAUGAACUUCUUUUUGUACACAUUUACAUACUAUGAGUUAUUAAUGUUGUGCCAAUAUUUUAGCUGUCCAUAAUGUUGACACAAAAAAGUUUACAAGGCCCAUAGUAUCACCAGUUUUGCACCUCGUUCCUUAUCUAGGGCCUCAUAUAAAUUUAAUGGGUAUGCACUACAAACAAUGGUCCAGUCAUACUGAGAACAUGUCUGUCUUCCAUCUUCCACCAAGUUUGGACAAGCUAGGAACAAUAUUUUUUAAAUAUAUCAAUGCCUAAAGAUGGCGUCCAAGAUAAGGAAUUUGUGAGAGUGAAAAUGAUACAAAAUCAAGGGUGAAAAGGUGUAUGGAAUUAUAAAAUUGAGCAAAAAUAUUUUACAGGUCUUGGUUUUGGGACUUAAAGGUAGUCAAGAGCAAAAUCUGAGAGGGUGCAGCAACUGUUUUCCUGGAUUUUAUCUGACUUGAAACAGAAUGACCCCCUUCCUAUCGUAAAUUACAUGUAUUUCUAAAUCCUUCUUUCUUUAUCCUGUACACCUCUGCACAGGCAAGUUGAGAAGCUGAAUGCCAGUUCUCUAUGUAUUUUACAAUGAUAUCUUUGUAUCUGACAAUUCCUUGAAUCCUUGACAGAAGGCUCAAUUUUGUAUUGCCAUAUUUUGUGAUGUCUACAGAAAUAAAAAUACUUGGUACCGA
Molecule: long non-coding RNA, 1728 nt
Organism: Sardina pilchardus (European sardine)
Lineage: Eukaryota; Metazoa; Chordata; Actinopteri; Clupeiformes; Clupeidae
Exons: 5
Source: RefSeq, a predicted model, not a curated record